UGUCUGGCAGAAGAUGGCUGGUCCACACUUGAAAAUACAGCUCUGAGUGGCUCUUUACCAAAGCUGAGUUGACACCAAGAGGAGAGAGGAGCAGGAGGACUCAAUUCUGCUGAGGAGACAUUCACACUUGGGUGGAAACAGCCCCUUCCCUGAUGUCUUCUCAGAAAACAGAGACAGAACUCAGCUCCUGGAGAAGCUGUCCCUCCUGC
This is a long non-coding RNA of Acomys russatus (golden spiny mouse), 209 nucleotides long. RefSeq lists it as uncharacterized. The transcript has 3 exons. The record is from RefSeq and is a predicted model, not a curated record. NCBI's taxonomy places the organism in Eukaryota, Metazoa, Chordata, Mammalia, Rodentia, Muridae.